RNAcentral lists this ribosomal RNA (774 nucleotides) under uncultured Neocallimastigales. RNAcentral describes it as "partial large subunit ribosomal RNA". It matches the Rfam family "Eukaryotic large subunit ribosomal RNA", at positions 20 to 649 of the family's 3401-position model. Lineage: Eukaryota; Fungi; Neocallimastigomycota; Neocallimastigomycetes; Neocallimastigales. The record is from RNAcentral.
UACUAGAGUAGCACUCGCAUAUCAAUAAGCGGAGGAAAAGAAACUAACAAGGAUUCCCCUAGUAACGGCGAGUGAAGCGGGAAGAGCUCAAAUUUGAAAUCUUAAAGGGUUUCCCUUUACGAAUUGUAGUUUAAAGAAGUGUUUUCUGUUGAGGUUUUGGUAAAAGUUCUUUGGAAUAGGACAUCAUAGAGGGUGAGAAUCCCGUAUUUGACCUUUACUUUCAACUUUGUGAUACACUUUCAAAGAGUCGGAUUGUUUGGGAAUGCAGUCCAAAAUGGGUGGUAAAUUUCAUCUAAAGCUAAAUAUUGGCGAGAGACCGAUAGCGAACAAGUACCGUGAGGGAAAGAUGAAAAGAACUUUGAAAAGAGAGUUAAACAGUACGUGAAAUUGUCAAAAGGGAAGCGUUUGACACCAGUGUUGUUUUUCUGAAAAUCAAUUAAAGAACUGUUUAUGCUAAGUUGUUUAGACUUUAUCAGCUAUCUGCUUAGUUUUGAGCUUUUCUUUAAUGCACUUUUCAGUUAACAAGUCAACAUCAAUUUCUUUUGCUGUAAAAAAGCUUGAGGAAGGUGGCUUGAGAUUCGUCUUAAGUGUUUAUAGCCUCUUGCCUAUGCAGUCGGAGAGAUUGAGGUCUGCAGCGUAGAUCCUUCGGGGCUGAAUGCAUUUGUGCUAAGUUAUAGCAUUUUAUAGACAACUUGUUGACUAUGAUUUGUCUUGUAGCUUACUCGCUUAUGUUAUUUUACCUACGCUUAGGAUGUUGAGUAGCGACAUACGCAC